Molecule: ribosomal RNA, 253 nt
Filed under: uncultured bacterium
Lineage: Bacteria
Description: partial 16S ribosomal RNA
Rfam family: Bacterial small subunit ribosomal RNA
Source: RNAcentral
UACGGAAGGGGCAAGCGUUGUUCGGAAUCAUUGGGCGUAAAGGGCGCGUAGGCGGUCGCGUGUGUCUGCUGUGAAAGCGCACGGCUCAACCGUGUGAAGUCGGUAGAAACUGCGGGACUUGAGGCUGGGAGAGGUUGGCGGAAUUCCCUGUGUAGCGGUGAAAUGCGUAGAUAUAGGGGAGAACACUCGUGGCGAAGGCGGCCAGCUGGACCAGCCCUGACGCUGAGGCGCGACAGCGUGGGGAGCAAACAGG